CAUUGGGAUCUAGGCAAUGCAUCACAUUAAACACAUGGACUGGACGAGGUUGGACUGUUUGAUGAAGUGAAAGAACGUUAUCGUGGAAGUCAUAUUUGUUGUCGCUUAACAAUUUAUGAAGUGGAAUUUAUUAUGAAAUAAUUAUAGGAAUAUUUCUUAUUGUUUGGAAUGAUUGAUUUAUUAUUGUAUUGAGUAUGAUA
Non-coding RNA from Erythranthe guttata (spotted monkey flower), 200 nucleotides. NCBI's taxonomy places the organism in Eukaryota, Viridiplantae, Streptophyta, Magnoliopsida, Lamiales, Phrymaceae. The record is from RefSeq and is a predicted model, not a curated record.